This 2931-nucleotide ribosomal RNA is filed under the name Escherichia coli. RNAcentral describes it as "23S ribosomal RNA". It matches the Rfam family "Bacterial large subunit ribosomal RNA". Lineage: Bacteria; Pseudomonadati; Pseudomonadota; Gammaproteobacteria; Enterobacterales; Enterobacteriaceae. The record is from RNAcentral.
GGGUUGUGAGGUUAAGCGACUAAGCGUACACGGUGGAUGCCCUGGCAGUCAGAGGCGAUGAAGGACGUGCUAAUCUGCGAUAAGCGUCGGUAAGGUGAUAUGAACCGUUAUAACCGGCGAUUUCCGAAUGGGGAAACCCAGUGUGAUUCGUCACACUAUCAUUAACUGAAUCCAUAGGUUAAUGAGGCGAACCGGGGGAACUGAAACAUCUAAGUACCCCGAGGAAAAGAAAUCAACCGAGAUUCCCCCAGUAGCGGCGAGCGAACGGGGAGCAGCCCAGAGCCUGAAUCAGUGUGUGUGUUAGUGGAAGCGUCUGGAAAGGCGCGCGAUACAGGGUGACAGCCCCGUACACAAAAAUGCACAUGCUGUGAGCUCGAUGAGUAGGGCGGGACACGUGGUAUCCUGUCUGAAUAUGGGGGGACCAUCCUCCAAGGCUAAAUACUCCUGACUGACCGAUAGUGAACCAGUACCGUGAGGGAAAGGCGAAAAGAACCCCGGCGAGGGGAGUGAAAAAGAACCUGAAACCGUGUACGUACAAGCAGUGGGAGCACGCUUAGGCGUGUGACUGCGUACCUUUUGUAUAAUGGGUCAGCGACUUAUAUUCUGUAGCAAGGUUAACCGAAUAGGGGAGCCGAAGGGAAACCGAGUCUUAACUGGGCGUUAAGUUGCAGGGUAUAGACCCGAAACCCGGUGAUCUAGCCAUGGGCAGGUUGAAGGUUGGGUAACACUAACUGGAGGACCGAACCGACUAAUGUUGAAAAAUUAGCGGAUGACUUGUGGCUGGGGGUGAAAGGCCAAUCAAACCGGGAGAUAGCUGGUUCUCCCCGAAAGCUAUUUAGGUAGCGCCUCGUGAAUUCAUCUCCGGGGGUAGAGCACUGUUUCGGCAAGGGGGUCAUCCCGACUUACCAACCCGAUGCAAACUGCGAAUACCGGAGAAUGUUAUCACGGGAGACACACGGCGGGUGCUAACGUCCGUCGUGAAGAGGGAAACAACCCAGACCGCCAGCUAAGGUCCCAAAGUCAUGGUUAAGUGGGAAACGAUGUGGGAAGGCCCAGACAGCCAGGAUGUUGGCUUAGAAGCAGCCAUCAUUUAAAGAAAGCGUAAUAGCUCACUGGUCGAGUCGGCCUGCGCGGAAGAUGUAACGGGGCUAAACCAUGCACCGAAGCUGCGGCAGCGACGCUGAUGCGUUGUUGGGUAGGGGAGCGUUCUGUAAGCCUGCGAAGGUGUGCUGUGAGGCAUGCUGGAGGUAUCAGAAGUGCGAAUGCUGACAUAAGUAACGAUAAAGCGGGUGAAAAGCCCGCUCGCCGGAAGACCAAGGGUUCCUGUCCAACGUUAAUCGGGGCAGGGUGAGUCGACCCCUAAGGCGAGGCCGAAAGGCGUAGUCGAUGGGAAACAGGUUAAUAUUCCUGUACUUGGUGUUACUGCGAAGGGGGGACGGAGAAGGCUAUGUUGGCCGGGCGACGGUUGUCCCGGUUUAAGCGUGUAGGCUGGUUUUCCAGGCAAAUCCGGAAAAUCAAGGCUGAGGCGUGAUGACGAGGCACUACGGUGCUGAAGCAACAAAUGCCCUGCUUCCAGGAAAAGCCUCUAAGCAUCAGGUAACAUCAAAUCGUACCCCAAACCGACACAGGUGGUCAGGUAGAGAAUACCAAGGCGCUUGAGAGAACUCGGGUGAAGGAACUAGGCAAAAUGGUGCCGUAACUUCGGGAGAAGGCACGCUGAUAUGUAGGUGAAGUCCCUUGCGGAUGGAGCUGAAAUCAGUCGAAGAUACCAGCUGGCUGCAACUGUUUAUUAAAAACACAGCACUGUGCAAACACGAAAGUGGACGUAUACGGUGUGACGCCUGCCCGGUGCCGGAAGGUUAAUUGAUGGGGUUAGCGCAAGCGAAGCUCUUGAUCGAAGCCCCGGUAAACGGCGGCCGUAACUAUAACGGUCCUAAGGUAGCGAAAUUCCUUGUCGGGUAAGUUCCGACCUGCACGAAUGGCGUAAUGAUGGCCAGGCUGUCUCCACCCGAGACUCAGUGAAAUUGAACUCGCUGUGAAGAUGCAGUGUACCCGCGGCAAGACGGAAAGACCCCGUGAACCUUUACUAUAGCUUGACACUGAACAUUGAGCCUUGAUGUGUAGGAUAGGUGGGAGGCUUGGAAGUGUGGACGCCAGUCUGCAUGGAGCCGACCUUGAAAUACCACCCUUUAAUGUUUGAUGUUCUAACGUUGACCCGUAAUCCGGGUUGCGGACAGUGUCUGGUGGGUAGUUUGACUGGGGCGGUCUCCUCCUAAAGAGUAACGGAGGAGCACGAAGGUUGGCUAAUCCUGGUCGGACAUCAGGAGGUUAGUGCAAUGGCAUAAGCCAGCUUGACUGCGAGCGUGACGGCGCGAGCAGGUGCGAAAGCAGGUCAUAGUGAUCCGGUGGUUCUGAAUGGAAGGGCCAUCGCUCAACGGAUAAAAGGUACUCCGGGGAUAACAGGCUGAUACCGCCCAAGAGUUCAUAUCGACGGCGGUGUUUGGCACCUCGAUGUCGGCUCAUCACAUCCUGGGGCUGAAGUAGGUCCCAAGGGUAUGGCUGUUCGCCAUUUAAAGUGGUACGCGAGCUGGGUUUAGAACGUCGUGAGACAGUUCGGUCCCUAUCUGCCGUGGGCGCUGGAGAACUGAGGGGGGCUGCUCCUAGUACGAGAGGACCGGAGUGGACGCAUCACUGGUGUUCGGGUUGUCAUGCCAAUGGCACUGCCCGGUAGCUAAAUGCGGAAGAGAUAAGUGCUGAAAGCAUCUAAGCACGAAACUUGCCCCGAGAUGAGUUCUCCCUGACUCCUUGAGAGUCCUGAAGGAACGUUGAAGACGACGACGUUGAUAGGCCGGGUGUGUAAGCGCAGCGAUGCGUUGAGCUAACCGGUACUAAUGAACCGUGAGGCUUAACCUUACAACGCCGAAGGUGUUU